Salvelinus namaycush (lake trout) is the source of this 1847-nucleotide long non-coding RNA. RefSeq lists it as uncharacterized. The record is from RefSeq and is a predicted model, not a curated record. NCBI's taxonomy places the organism in Eukaryota, Metazoa, Chordata, Actinopteri, Salmoniformes, Salmonidae. The transcript has 2 exons.
AAGUCCUCACUGGCAGGUUUACAGUAGGGAACCCCUCCAUGCGGCGGCCGCCCCCACUCAGCCCCCGGGACCCCUCCAGUGACCUGUACGACUCGUGUGUAGACAACUGGGUGGACCCCCAGAUCUAUGUUAUCUUUAACGACGACCAGAGCUACCCCUACUUUAUCAUCCAGUACGAAGAGGUUCCCAGUACCGUGGCUAUCUGACACGAGAGCAGACCGAACCAAACCUAGUACUGUAGCUGAGAACAGACCAGACCGAACCAAACCUAGUACUGUGGCUGAGAACAGACCAGACCGAACUAAACCCAGUACUGUGGCUGAGAACAGACCAGACCGAACCAAACCUAGGACUGUGGCUGAGAACAGACCAGACCGAACCAAACCUAGUACUGUGGCUGAGAACAGACCAGACCGAACCAAACCUAGUACUGUGGCUGAGAACAGACCAGACCGAACUAAACCCAGGACUGUGGCUGAGAACAGACCAGACCGAACUAAACCCAGUACUGUGGCUGAGAACAGACCGAACCAAACCUAGUACUGUGGCUGAGAACAGACCAGACCGAACCAAACCUAGUACUGUGGCUGAGAACAGACCAGACCGAACAAAACCCAGUACUGUGGCUGAGAACAGACCGAACCAAACCUAGUACUGUGGCUGAGAACAGACCAGACCGAACCAAACCCAGUACUGUGGCUGAGAACAGACCGAACCAAACCUAGUACUGUGGCUGAGAACAGACCAGACCGAACCAAACCUAGUACUGUGGCUGAGAACAGACCAGACCGAACCAAACCCAGUACUGUGGCUGAGAACAGACCAGACCGAACCAAACCUAGUACUGUGGCUGAGAACAGACCAGACCGAACCAAACCUAGUACUGUGGCUGAGAACAGACCAGACCGAACUAAACCCAGUACUGUGGCUGAGAACAGACCGAACCAAACCUAGUACUGUGGCUGAGAACAGACCAGACCGAACCAAACCUAGUACUGUGGCUGAGAACAGACCGAACCAAACCCAGUACUGUGGCUGAGAACAGACCGAACCAAACCCAGUACUGUGGCUGAGAACAGACCAGACCGAACCAAACCUAGUACUGUGGCUGAGAACAGACCGAACCAAACCCAGUACUGUGGCUGAGAACAGACCAGACCGAACCAAACCAGAGCUACCUCAUACUGCAUCAUCAGUAUGAAGAGUUAACCAGUACUGUCAACAUCUGAGACCUAUUGGUUCCUCCCUACACCCGUCAUCCACAGCAGCUUCCGUCUGUAUGCUGUUGGUGUGAAGCCCUUAAACUGGACAGUGGAUUGCGUUUCAUUUGUACACAAUGCUGUGUGAAUAGACAUUAGCGUCUGCCAUUUUGGGUCUGAACAGUUUAAUUUGGACACAAUGCUGUGAGAAUAGACAUUAGCGUCUGCCAUUUUGGGUCUGAACAGUUUAAUUUGGACACAAUGCUGUGAGAAUAGACAUUAGCGUCUGCCAUUUUGGGUCUGAACAGUGGACAGUUUAAUUUGGACCCAAUGCUGUGUGAAUGGAGAAUUGCCUUGGCGUCUGCCAUUUUGGAUCCCCGUCAGGCCUGAACAGUGGACAGAGUCACUGAGACUCAGUGCUGGAGUGACCGCAUAACGUUUCUGUUUAAAACAUGACCCCCAUCUCUCUCUCUCUCUCUCUCUCCCUAAGACCUCUUUCUCUCAGAGGGCAGACAUAUUUGGUGAGAUAAGCUGUACGUACGUUCCUCUUGUUUAUAUUUGAACUGUGUGCCUUUUGUUCAUAAAAAUGUUUAUUUAUGUUAGUUAAAUGUAACAUUGAGUAAAUAAAUAAUCUAAAAGAGAAAAUCA